Molecule: ribosomal RNA, 1017 nt
Filed under: Salmonella enterica
Lineage: Bacteria; Pseudomonadati; Pseudomonadota; Gammaproteobacteria; Enterobacterales; Enterobacteriaceae
Description: partial 23S ribosomal RNA
Rfam family: Bacterial large subunit ribosomal RNA
Source: RNAcentral
GCCCCGGUAAACGGCGGCCGUAACUAUAACGGUCCUAAGGUAGCGAAAUUCCUUGUCGGGUAAGUUCCGACCUGCACGAAUGGCGUAAUGAUGGCCAGGCUGUCUCCACCCGAGACUCAGUGAAAUUGAACUCGCUGUGAAGAUGCAGUGUACCCGCGGCAAGACGGAAAGACCCCGUGAACCUUUACUAUAGCUUGACACUGAACAUUGAGCCUUGAUGUGUAGGAUAGGUGGGAGGCUUUGAAGUGUGGACGCCAGUCUGCAUGGAGCCGACCUUGAAAUACCACCCUUUAAUGUUUGAUGUUCUAACGUGGACCCGUAAUCCGGGUUGCGGACAGUGUCUGGUGGGUAGUUUGACUGGGGCGGUCUCCUCCUAAAGAGUAACGGAGGAGCACGAAGGUUGGCUAAUCCUGGUCGGACAUCAGGAGGUUAGUGCAAUGGCAUAAGCCAGCUUGACUGCGAGCGUGACGGCGCGAGCAGGUGCGAAAGCAGGUCAUAGUGAUCCGGUGGUUCUGAAUGGAAGGGCCAUCGCUCAACGGAUAAAAGGUACUCCGGGGAUAACAGGCUGAUACCGCCCAAGAGUUCAUAUCGACGGCGGUGUUUGGCACCUCGAUGUCGGCUCAUCACAUCCUGGGGCUGAAGUAGGUCCCAAGGGUAUGGCUGUUCGCCAUUUAAAGUGGUACGCGAGCUGGGUUUAGAACGUCGUGAGACAGUUCGGUCCCUAUCUGCCGUGGGCGCUGGAGAACUGAGGGGGGCUGCUCCUAGUACGAGAGGACCGGAGUGGACGCAUCACUGGUGUUCGGGUUGUCAUGCCAAUGGCACUGCCCGGUAGCUAAAUGCGGAAGAGAUAAGUGCUGAAAGCAUCUAAGCACGAAACUUGCCCCGAGAUGAGUUCUCCCUGAGACUUAGAGUCUCCUGAAGGAACGUUGAAGACGACGACGUUGAUAGGCCGGGUGUGUAAGCGCAGCGAUGCGUUGAGCUAACCGGUACUAAUGAACCGUGAGGCUUAACCUUACA